RNAcentral lists this ribosomal RNA (497 nucleotides) under uncultured bacterium. Its description in RNAcentral is "partial 16S ribosomal RNA". It matches the Rfam family "Bacterial small subunit ribosomal RNA", at positions 28 to 507 of the family's 1533-position model. The record is from RNAcentral.
GAUGAACGCUGGCGGCGUGCCUAAUACAUGCAAGUCGAGCGAACGGACGAGAAGCUUGCUUCUCUGAUGUUAGCGGCGGACGGGUGAGUAACACGUGGAUAACCUACCUAUAAGACUGGGAUAACUUCGGGAAACCGGAGCUAAUACCGGAUAAUAUUUUGAACCGCAUGGUUCAAAAGUGAAAGACGGUCUUGCUGUCACUUAUAGAUGGAUCCGCGCUGCAUUAGCUAGUCGGUAAGGUAACGGCUUACCAAGGCAACGAUGCAUAGCCGACCUGAGAGGGUGAUAGGCCACACUGGAACUGAGACACGGUCCAGACUCCUACGGGAGGCAGCAGUAGGGAAUCUUCCGCAAUGGGCGAAAGCAUGACGGAGCAACGCCGCGUGAGUGAUGAAGGUCUUCGGAUCGUAAAACUCUGUUAUUAGGGAAGAACAUAUGUGUAAGUAACUGUGCACAUCUUGACGGUACCUAAUCAGAAAGCCACGGCUAACUACGUG